Molecule: unclassified non-coding RNA, 337 nt
Filed under: soil metagenome
Description: partial contains 5.8S ribosomal RNA, internal transcribed spacer 2, and large subunit ribosomal RNA
Rfam family: 5.8S ribosomal RNA (bases 1-120)
Source: RNAcentral
GAUGAAGAACGUAGCGAAAUGCGAUAAGUAGUGUGAAUUGCAGAAUUCAGUGAAUCAUCGAAUCUUUGAACGCACAUUGCGCCCCAUGGUAUUCCGUGGGGCAUGCCUGUUCGAGCGUCAUUUACCCCCUCAAGCUCCGCUUGGUGUUGGGCGUCUGUCCCGCUUCGCGCGCGGACUCGCCCCAAAGGUAUUGGCAGCGGUCGUGCCAGCUUCUCGCGCAGCACAUUGCGCUUCUCGAGGUACCGGUGGGCCCGCGUCCAUCAAGCUCACCCCCCCAGUUUGACCUCGGAUCAGGUAGGGAUACCCGCUGAACUUAAGCAUAUCAAUAAGCGGAGGA